GAAACAGGACAAUGGGCUGGCUAGACAGGUGCAGGCUAUGGCCAGGAAACCCCCCAAAUACAACGGAAUUGAAAGACACCUGUUGGAAUGCUGGCCCCCGCAGGAACCACCAUGAUCCCGAUUCAUCCAGGAGGGCCACCCUCCCGUCCAGCCCCCCAAGAGCAGCAGGGCUCCCUCUUGCCCUUGAACCUCCUCUGCCCUGACAGGCGGCGUCACCCAGGGCUCAGGAUCCUGGCUUCCAGCAUUCCAGAGGUGACUCACCAACCAAAGUGUCACUCACCAACCGAAGGACCUUGCACAAAUGCGCCAGCCUCCCCAUGCCUCAGUCUCCCCAUCUGUAAAUGAGUGUUAUGACGGUACUGUCAUAACCUCCCUGGAGGAUCCAGGUGGUCACAUUACUGUUGGUGACAUUGUCCCUCUGUUGGCUGCAGACGCAUCUUCUCUCCAGACUGCCGAUCCCAGAAAGCCAGGUGAUCACCAUUAACCCCGAGCUGCCUGUGGAGGAGGCGGCUGAGGACUACGCCAAGAAGCUGAGACAGGCAUUCCAAGGGGACUCCAUCCCAGUUUUCGACCUGCUGAUCCUGGGGGUGGGCCCCGAUGGUCACACCUGCUCACUCUUCCCAGACCACCCCCUCCUACAGGAGCGGGAGAAGAUUGUGGCUCCCAUCAGUGACUCCCCGAAGCCACCACCACAGCGUGUGACCCUCACACUACCUGUCCUGAAUGCAGCACGAACUGUCAUCUUUGUGGCAACUGGAGAAGGCAAGGCAGCUGUUCUGAAGCGCAUUUUGGAGGACCAGGAGGAAAACCCUCUGCCCGCCGCCCUGGUCCAGCCCCACACCGGGAAACUGUGCUGGUUCUUGGACGAG
RNAcentral lists this small RNA (869 nucleotides) under Pan troglodytes (chimpanzee). RNAcentral's name for it is "retained intron". Lineage: Eukaryota; Metazoa; Chordata; Mammalia; Primates; Hominidae. The record is from RNAcentral.